CCUGUAGUAUCAAAAAAGUGACAAUAAUGGGUCCGCUUCUCGCUUACGGUCUCUAAAGUGUCCUCCUCCAUUGGGCAGUGACUCUAUUGAACCUUAACUACAAGAAUCUCUCUAGUGCGCAAGCACUUGACAUCACUAGCCAAAAUAAGCACCGGCUCCACUACAUAGGUUAAAUGCUUAUCCAACUGAACUGAGUUCCAUCUAAGCAUAUAAGAUAAAUUAGAAAUGUAUUGCCG
RNAcentral lists this long non-coding RNA (236 nucleotides) under Capsicum annuum. RNAcentral describes it as "long non-coding RNA (CANN_LNC014114)". The record is from RNAcentral. Lineage: Eukaryota; Viridiplantae; Streptophyta; Magnoliopsida; Solanales; Solanaceae.